This 74-nucleotide transfer RNA is filed under the name bacterium. RNAcentral's name for it is "tRNA-Pro". It matches the Rfam family "tRNA". Rfam says of the family: Transfer RNA (tRNA) molecules are approximately 80 nucleotides in length. Their secondary structure includes four short double-helical elements and three loops (D, anti-codon, and T loops). Further hydrogen bonds mediate the characteristic L-shaped molecular structure. tRNAs have two regions of fundamental functional importance: the anti-codon, which is responsible for specific mRNA codon recognition, and the 3' end, to which the tRNAs corresponding amino acid is attached (by aminoacyl-tRNA synthetases). tRNAs cope with the degeneracy of the genetic code in two manners: having more than one tRNA (with a specific anti-codon) for a particular amino acid; and 'wobble' base-pairing, i.e. permitting non-standard base-pairing at the 3rd anti-codon position. The record is from RNAcentral. RNAcentral also lists the same sequence under 2 other names.
CGGGGAUUAGCUCAGAUGGCUAGAGUACCUGGUUUGGGACCAGGGGGUCGCGAGUUCGAGUCCCGCAUCCCCGA